This 77-nucleotide transfer RNA is filed under the name Candidatus Nomurabacteria bacterium. RNAcentral's name for it is "tRNA-Ala". It matches the Rfam family "tRNA". From Rfam's summary of the family: Transfer RNA (tRNA) molecules are approximately 80 nucleotides in length. The record is from RNAcentral. Lineage: Bacteria; Candidatus Nomuraibacteriota.
GGGGAUAUAGCUCAGUUGGCUAGAGCACCUGCUUUGCAAGCAGGGGGUCAAGGGUUCGAGUCCCUUUAUCUCCACCA